UAGGGAAUCUUCGGCAAUGGACGGAAGUCUGACCGAGCAACGCCGCGUGAGUGAAGAAGGUUUUCGGACCGUAAAGCUCUGUUGUAAGAGAAGAACGAGUGUGAGAGUGGAAAGUUCACACUGUGACGGUAUCCUACCAGAAAGGGACGGCUAACUACGUGCCAGCAGCCGCGGUAAUACGUAGGUCCCGAGCGUUGUCCGGAUUUAUUGGGCGUAAAGCGAGCGCAGGCGGUUAGAUAAGUCUGAAGUUAAAGGCUGUGGCUUAACCAUAGUAGGCUUUGGAAACUGUUUAACUUGAGUGCAAGAGGGGAGAGUGGAAUUCCAUGUGUAGCGGUGAAAUGCGUAGAUAUAUGGAGGAACACCGGUGGCGAAAGCGGCUCUCUGGCUUGUAACUGACGCUGAGGCUCGAAAGCGUGGGGAGCAAACAGGAUUAGAUACCCUGGUAGUCCACGCUGUAAACGAUGAGUGCUAGGUGUUAGACCCUUUCCGGGGUUUAGUGCCGUAGCUAACGCAUUAAGCACUCCGCCUGGGGAGUACGACCGCAAGGUUG
This 550-nucleotide ribosomal RNA is filed under the name uncultured bacterium. Its description in RNAcentral is "bacterial SSU rRNA". It matches the Rfam family "Bacterial small subunit ribosomal RNA", at positions 355 to 896 of the family's 1533-position model. The record is from RNAcentral.